RNAcentral lists this ribosomal RNA (440 nucleotides) under uncultured bacterium. RNAcentral describes it as "partial 16S ribosomal RNA". It matches the Rfam family "Bacterial small subunit ribosomal RNA", at positions 338 to 795 of the family's 1533-position model. The record is from RNAcentral.
CCUACGGGGUGCAGCAGUGGGGGAUAUUGCACAAUGGGGGAAACCCUGAUGCAGCGACGCCGCGUGGGUGAAGAAGCGCCUCGGCGCGUAAAGCCCUGUCAGCAGGGAAGAAAAUGACGGUACCUGAAGAAGAAGCCCCGGCUAACUACGUGCCAGCAGCCGCGGUAAUACGUAGGGGGCAAGCGUUAUCCGGAUUUACUGGGUGUAAAGGGGGCGCAGACGGCGAUGCAAGCCAGGAGUGAAAGCCCGGGGCCCAACCCCGGGACUGCUCUGGGAACUGGGUGGCUAGAGUGCAGGAGGGGCAGGCGGAAUUCCUGGUGUAGCGGUGAAAUGCGUAGAUAUGAGGAGGAACACCGAUGGCGAAGGCGGCCUGCUGGACUGCAACUGACGUUGAGGCCCGAAAGCGUGGGGAGCGAACAGGAUUAGAUACCCUUGUAGUC